UUACACACCCUCAUAAAUCUAUGGCCCCUGUAGCAUUUAUGUCGGUGGCCUGUGAUCUAGGGUGAUAGGCAUGUCCGGACAUAACCGCCCUCCCUCCUGUGCCUUGACUCUUUUCUCUGUAGCGUGUAUGAAAGAAACAAAAGGUCAGGGGUGAACCUUGUCGCAUGACAACGGGCUGACAGGCUCAGUUGCUAAGGGGAUAGGUGACAGGGUGGCACGGACGUGGGGUGACAAGGUGAUGGCAUGAGGUGACAGAAAAGUUACCAGCUCUGAGUCACAGCCGUGACGUGCUGAAACAGCCGUGGGGGAGGCAUACAUACUCCUGUUGGCAGUUUAGGAGAACCAGGGGGAGGAAAUGAAAGGCUCAAGAAGAAUCAGACAUUGCUAUGGAUGAACUCAUCACCCAGAUGUUCACAUCCCACAUCAUUGCUUUCCAAUCACCACUGGAUUUAUUUUGUAUACAAAAAUACUCUUUUCCAAUGUUUUUAUUCAGUCUAGUUUAGACGAUGAGGCUAAAUGUAUUAUAACCAUUAUGGAUUUUUUACAGCAACGAAAAAAACAAUAUAAAUAUUGCUGUAGUCUUAUGUCA
Long non-coding RNA from Larimichthys crocea (large yellow croaker), 589 nucleotides. RefSeq lists it as uncharacterized. The transcript has 3 exons. The record is from RefSeq and is a predicted model, not a curated record. NCBI's taxonomy places the organism in Eukaryota, Metazoa, Chordata, Actinopteri, Sciaenidae.